This 1246-nucleotide long non-coding RNA is filed under the name Sus scrofa (pig). Its description in RNAcentral is "lncRNA (ENSSSCG00045025064.1)". The record is from RNAcentral. Lineage: Eukaryota; Metazoa; Chordata; Mammalia; Artiodactyla; Suidae.
CCUGACUCCUGCGCCAGAGUGGGGCUUGGACCGCGGGUGAGGGAGAAGGCAGGUGGGCUCCGGGGCAGGGGGGCUGGUGGACAAGCCUCGGCCUCCAGCCUUGGGGCCUGCGCUGCCCCAGGUCUGCUCCCCCCUCCCCUGCCUCCCCACCCCCGACCCACGUGCCCACCGUGGUGGAUCUUAACAAUGUCUCCCUAUAGUGCAAGCCCACCUCCCGCUGGCUCUGUGCACUCAGGCUCCUCCCGGCCCUGUCACUAAAUCCUGACUUGCCUACACUGGGACUGCAAGACAUGCCUCACCUCCAGGCGGGACCUGCAGCUCUGCCACAGUGACAGCUCAGGGCAGAUAAGAUCAGCCCCUCAGAGUUCCCAUCGUGGCGCAGCGGAGACAAAUCCGACUAGGAACCAUGAGGUGGCGGGUUCGAUCCCUGGCCUCGCUCACCACAACUCGGGAUCCAAGCUGCGUCUCUGACCUUCACCACAGCUCACUCAACACCGGACACUUAACCCACUGAGAGACACCAGGGAUCGAACCCACAUCCUCAUGGAUACUAGUCAGCGGAGCUGAGUAAAUGUCACCUGUCUGACCGGUUACAACAUCACCUCGGGAAUCCUUUCGCCAACAGACAAGGACCCCCAUUCAACCGACUGGCUCCAAGCUGAGCCUUGGAGAGGUGGCUGGGGACAGGAGGAAAAGACAGAGCCCCCCACGCAUUGCCAGGAUUUCUCUUUCCGUAUCCCAGCCUCCCUGCUCCCUGGGGCACACAGGUGGAUGGCGGAGGCAGCCAGUGAAGGCACCAACCGAGGGGCAGAACCUCCACAUGCCAUGGGCGCAGGCCAAAAGGAGAGAGUGAUGGAGGGAGGAAGAAACGCUGGGAGACACAACCUCCAAGUCUCAAGUGGAAACGGGGAGAGAGGCGUCAUGGGAGGGAGCAGCUCUCGAAGUCCCAGCUGGCCCCCCCUAGCUUCGCAAGGACAGCGCUACCUCUCCUCAUCUCUAAGACACCAUCCACCACCGUACGGCGCACUUUUCCGUAUCACUCAGAAAGAGAAACCGCUGGCGAUUAAAUUUGCCGACACCAUAUCGUGAGCCUUUUCGGGCACACAGAGUUUGGGGAACUAUAUGAUGGACAGGCACAAGCGCGCCACCCAGCCUCUGCCGCUGACAUGUGGUUCUGUCGCACAUCUGUGCCUCGAGCCAUCCAUCAUUCCACCUUUUUUAAAAAAAAUUAUUAAAUAGUUGAUUG